RNAcentral lists this transfer RNA (73 nucleotides) under Camelus ferus (Wild Bactrian camel). It matches the Rfam family "tRNA". From Rfam's summary of the family: Transfer RNA (tRNA) molecules are approximately 80 nucleotides in length. Their secondary structure includes four short double-helical elements and three loops (D, anti-codon, and T loops). Further hydrogen bonds mediate the characteristic L-shaped molecular structure. tRNAs have two regions of fundamental functional importance: the anti-codon, which is responsible for specific mRNA codon recognition, and the 3' end, to which the tRNAs corresponding amino acid is attached (by aminoacyl-tRNA synthetases). tRNAs cope with the degeneracy of the genetic code in two manners: having more than one tRNA (with a specific anti-codon) for a particular amino acid; and 'wobble' base-pairing, i.e. permitting non-standard base-pairing at the 3rd anti-codon position. The record is from Rfam by way of RNAcentral. Lineage: Eukaryota; Metazoa; Chordata; Mammalia; Artiodactyla; Camelidae.
GAGGGCAUAGCUCAACUGGUAGAGCGCAUGCUUAGCAUGCUUGAGGUCCUGCGUUCAAUUUCUAGUACCUCCA